This is an RNA transcript of Musa acuminata subsp. malaccensis (wild Malaysian banana), 2379 nucleotides long. It is a transcript of the gene named general transcription and DNA repair factor IIH subunit TFB1-1-like, with no coding region annotated. NCBI's taxonomy places the organism in Eukaryota, Viridiplantae, Streptophyta, Magnoliopsida, Zingiberales, Musaceae. The record is from RefSeq and is a predicted model, not a curated record.
UUUUAUUCGCCAGUGAGACCGGAGCGACCAUCUCCUCUGCUCCUCCCUCCCUCGCUCUUUCUCUCUCUCUACAGAUUCCCUUCCCUCAAUCGGGAAAUCCACCCACCAAUCUCUGGUCGAAACCCUACAUAUCCGCUUCGGCUUCUCUCGAUCGAUCAGGGACGCCGCAAUCGCGCGGGGCGCAGCCCUUUGCCCUAAUCUCCGCCGUCCGUUUCGAUCGCACCGCCCCUCGCACUUCCUCGUCCGCCGCCGCUGAUUGGUUACCGGGGCCCCGAUUUCUCUCCGGGGAAAUGGCGGCGAUCAGCAAGGUGGCCAAGUAUAAGACGACGGUGAAAGAGCCCGGGAUUCCGGGCGUGCUUAAUAUGAUGGAGGAUGUAUUUACUUUUACUCCUCAUGAUCCUAGAUCAGCGAUGAAGCUUAGAGUGGACUUUAGAAACAUUAAAGGUCAUAAAUUCAGUAAAGAUGGUUCAAAGCAAGCAUUAUUAAAUCUUACACAAGAUUCUGAAAAGGGGGGAGGCUACAUUUUUGAGUUUAAUAAUUUUACUGAACGUAAUGAUUGUCGAGAUUUUGUAGGGAAAGUUCUAGGGAAGUUCCAGGCUUUGGUGUCCAAGCAAAAUGAUGAACCGACCUCUGAGAAAUCUGCUGUAUCACUUGAACAACUUAGCACUAUAGAGAUGGAACGCAGAAUGAAGUUGUUGCGGGAAGAUAGUGAAUUGCAAAAGCUGCACAAGGAGCUCGUCAUUGGCAAUGUGCUGACGGAAUCUGAGUUUUGGGCUACAAGAAAGAAUCUACUAGACGAUGAUUCUGAUAGAACAUUAAAGCAACGGACAGGGUUUAAAAGUGCUAUGCUUGCAGAUAUAAGGCCAUCAACUGAUGGUCGGACCAAUAAGGUCACGUUUAGCCUUACGCCGGAGAUUAUUCACCAGAUUUUCGCUGAAAAACCUGCUGUUCAUCGGGCAUUUUUGAAUUUUGUUCCAAGCAAGAUGACAGAAAAGGAUUUCUGGACAAAAUACUGUAGAGCUGAAUAUCUCCACAGGACAAAAAAUUCUGUAGCCGCUGCAGCAGAGGCAGCUGAAGAUGAAGAACUUGCUGUCUUUCUGAAGCAUGAUGACAUAUUGGCUGAUGAAGCUCGGCGUAAGAUCAGACGGGUUGAUCCAACCUUGGACAUGGAAGCUGAUUUAGGUGAUGACUACAUCCAUCUUCCUGAUCAUGGAAUUCUUCGUGAUGGUAGCAAAGAGACUGCAGAUUCGGAGAAUGAUUUAGCUCGGAGGACUCUUGCACAAGAUGUUAAUCGUCAUGCGGCUGUUGUUCUUGAAGGGAGGGCACUAGAUAUUGAAUUGGGAGAUACGCGAGCUGUAGCUGAAGCACUUGCUAGGUCCAAACAAGAGUCAUCUGCUGAUACUUUAGAUGAGAAUUCUAAUCUAGAACGACAAGAAAGAGUUUCACGUAUGACCGAGAUUGAAGAUCUUCAGGCUCCUCAUAGCCUUCCAUAUGCACCACUUUGCAUCAAGGAUCCACGGGAGUAUUUUGAUUCUCAACAAGUCAAUGCGCUUAAAGCUUUAGGCGGCACUGGUGCUGGUUCCAAAACAAUCGAUUACAGCCUAAAUUCUGAGGAGGCUUAUAGUUAUCUAAUGCAUCAGAUCUCUGAGGUGAAAGCUCAAGGGUUGCAUAAUCCAAUUGUUCAAUCUGAAGUUGCUUGUAAGGAAAACCUAACUCAUUAACUGGUAUGAGCUAGGUUCUGAGUGGGCUUACGCAACAGAUUUCAAGCACCAGAUAUCAUCUUGGGAAGAAUCCUCAGGAGAGCGUUCUUGAUAGAUUACCUAAAAGGACCAAAGAUGAAAUUAUGCUUCAUUGGACAUCAAUUCAGGAGUUACUUCGUCAUUUUUGGUCAUCAUAUCCAAUUACAACUAGUUACCUAUAUAAUAAGGUCCUCAGGUUGAAGAGUGCUAUGACAGAUAUCUAUCAGAAGCUCAAGGCUAUUAAGGAUGUGCAAUCAGAUUUCCGGCAUCAGAUCUCUCUCCUUGUUCAGCCCAUGCUACAGGCUUUGGAUGCUGCAUUCGCUCAUUAUGAUGCUGAAGAACAUAAGCAUUCCAAAAAGAAUGGGGCUAAACCAAAUGGGUUUGUUCAGUAAACCUUGUCUUGUUUCAUCUGUACAUGUAAUUAAAUUUUGAUAUUCUUGUAGAACAGCUUCUUCGGCCACUUUCCAAUGAAGAGUAGAACACCUUCCAUCGCCUUAUUUCUUAUAGUGUUCAUGAAAUCUGAAACCCGUAUGGUUUUCUAUGUAACAUGAUCUCAUAUGUUAGCCAUUAUAUUCUUACCAGAAUACAAUCUUUCAGCUGUUAUUUUUUGGCAUGAGUAGAGCGUUAAAACUCAGGAUAA